This 2289-nucleotide long non-coding RNA is filed under the name Oryza sativa Indica Group (long-grained rice). RNAcentral describes it as "lncRNA OsZS97_03G040940". Lineage: Eukaryota; Viridiplantae; Streptophyta; Magnoliopsida; Poales; Poaceae. The record is from RNAcentral.
GGGGCUGGCGAAAGGGCUGGCGACGGGGCUGCUCCGGUCGCCGCCUCUGGCGGAGCUGGCUGCAGGCCACCGCUGAUCAAUCUGCCGCUGUUGCUGCCCACCUCGACGGGCGCUUUCCUUCCUCCACCCACAACCCAGUUCUUCUCACCCCUCCGGCAGCAGGUGAAACCAGGUGAAAUUUUCCAAGAACACAUCCUCUCCCUUUUCCACUGCCCAGUGAUCCCAUCUGUUUCAGUCCUAGGCCCCUCUAACAUCCACCCAACUCCGAUUUGGCUGUGUGCCUCCCCGUCCCGUCCUCACAACUCCCUCUCUGUUAAAAACAUUCUGAAUUUCUGGUUCAGUUCUUAUGGUUUUUCGUUCUCGGUCUCUUCUUUGGGUUUUGGCUUAUUUCGUUCUUUUGUUGCAAACCGUAAUGUGGCUUCUUCUUUAGUUCUUGCGGGUUCUGCUUUGCUUGAUUCUGCCGGUUUGUCCAUCCAUCUUUCCAAGGAUUCAACUGCUGUUCAGUUGGAGGACGUCAUUGCUAUGCUGGAAAAUAGUCUCUCUAACUCGCCAGAUAGAUCAGGCUCGGGGGGUUUGGUUCUGAUUGAAGUGGAUUCUGCUCUGGUAAUUGUUCCUGCUCCUAUUCCUGCUCUGCCAGUUUCGUCAGUUGUUCAUGCGAGCUCAGCUUCUGAGGCAGUUGGGCAGCAAGGGUCAGAAUAUGUUUCUGCUGAGGUUGUGCAUGUGAUGCCUGCUAUUAGUUCUGUGCUUCUUCCCACUAUAUUUGGACAGCCCGAUGCUACUAUUUCUUCUGCUGCUGUUCCCUCUGUGGAUGCUCCUGUCAGAUCUACGGCGCUUGUGGACUCCACCCCUCCCUCGGAGGAUGCCCCUGUCAUUCUAGAUUCUGUGGUUGUCGAUUUCUCUACAGUGCAGUCCGCAGAGCAAGUGGGCUCUUCUACUACCCAGGUGUUUCAGUCUGCUCCCCUCAGUAGCCUGCCCCCACGUCUGAGAUGUAAGAACAAGGGUUUCCUUACCUGGUUUGGGGCUAAUCCUCUUCUGCCAGCUCCAGUAGCACAAUCUCCUCUGUCCUCUCCCCCUUCUGCGCAAAGGGAUAUAUUUGUCUGCUCUGAACAGCAAGCUUCAUCUCGGGUUAGCCCCACUGCGCAGGAUCCAGUCAGCUCUUGGUCGCCUCCUCAUUCCUCAGGAGGUCCAUCUGCGGCAGAUCAGAUUCGUAAGGCCAUGGCUGGUUUGAGCCCAGAGCAGUCCGAUACCUCUGGCCCAAGGUCCCCAGUGCCUGACACGAGCAUUGCCAACCCAGUUUUAAUCUCCAGCUCAACAGAGGAAUUUGCUUCUCGUGAUACAGACCCUGAUCAGCAGCAGGCUUCAGAUGAAGAUGACUUUGUGGAUAUUUUCCUCCCAUACGUGGACAUGAGGGUUGUGGCUCACUAUGCUUUCGCUUAUGUUAUUCCUCCUUGCGAAACUCCUAGCAGAGUUAUCAGAAAGGCCAUGCAAGCUGCACAUCCAAGUUUCCAGUUCUCCCUUAUUUCUUCUUGCAGAGGUUCUAUGGCCAUGAGAUUCAUUCACCGAAAUGACAGGGAGUUUGCAGUGAAUCAUCAGGACUCCCUUCGGGCAGAGGGACACUCAGUCAUGCUAGAGCGGCUGGAAGAUAGUGCGGCCCGUUCCACUCAACACAACACAAUGCUUUCUGAGUUGGAUUGCGUAGAUUUCCCCCCUGAGUUGCUAUUUCCUAACAAAAUUCGCAACGCUUUUGAGAACUACGGCGAGCUGAUGGAGGUAGAUGAUCAAUGCCUCUAUGGAGAUGAGCAAUCGUCGCUGAGACUUGUGGUGCUUCAUUACCCAGGGAAGAGGAUGACUCCUACUAUGAAGCUGCGUUACAGUUUUGGAGUUGGGGAGCCUGUUCCGGAACAUGAGUGCCAGGAUUCUUCCUUCCUUGAUCUCGAGCCUGAACAUGAACUUUCGGCCAGGAAGCGCCGUAGACAGAAGAAAAUCUCCAUGGACAUUGAUGUGAAGAAACGUUUCAAUGCACGUUUGGCAGCCAAGGAGGGACAAAUGUAUAUUUCAAUGGAAGCAAAAGCUGCACGGGCGAAGAAGCUUAAGGAACAGCUCGCAAAGUGCUCUAGCAAACUCAAUGAGGUGGUCAGCACCCACAAGCUUCUUGAUCUCAACUACAAAACAACUCCGAAAGCUUUAGAGGACCUGGCAAUUGCUUGCAGCCUGGACGACCAUGAUAUUGCACAACUUCGCUCGGUGCUGGCUGUGGUGGAACAAUGCUGUCUCUAUUCCGCCUUUUGA